AUGACUGCUGUGGAGCUGCCUGGCUGGUCUACGAGUUUGGGGAGAGUGCUCUGCUUUGGGAUACCGAGCCAUCGCCGAGGUCUGUCCCAUGCAGCUGGUGGGCCCUGUGAAUGCACAGCCCCGCGUCACCUCUUCCGUCCUGCCCCUGGAGAGACUGCCCGAGAAGAUGCUGGCCUGGGCCGUGGAGUUAAAGUGGCUGUCUCUUCCACGGAAACCUUCACUGAGGGUGUCUGUCAUUUCAGUGAAGAGCCGUCGAUAGGAGCUAAUUUUGUUUCCCUUUGGCCUGUUUCUCAGGGUAUAAGGGCUUGAGGAAACUCGGGAUAGCACAGGCUGCAUGUCUGUGAGUCACUCGGUGUGCGAAAUGUUUGCCCAGUCAUCCCAGGACUUUCCACCCAAUCUUUGAGCUGGGUUAUGGAACAGAAGCAGAUGAGUAAGUUGCUUAUGGAGGCUGCUGUGCCUGUCUGCUGUAGACGUGUCUCCUGUUUCUCCAUGAUGACUGACCUGUUCAUGGGGGGUCUGGAAACCCGGCCAGGCCUCUGCAGCUUGGGACCUGCUCUGAGCAGGUGUUUGGGACAGGUGAAGUUAAAUGAUUGCUUAUUUACUAAUUGCAAACAUGCUGACAGGCCAGAAUAUAUGGAUGGCUGGGGAGUUAUGGCAGAAUUCAUACCAUGUCUCAUCUCUUUCUUCCUUAUGCCCCUCGCCUGCUUCCUUUAGCCACAGGCUCAGUGAUUUCAGGUGCAUCCAGAGGGAUGCAGUUUCUGGCCAGAGACUGCCACGAGUCUGAACGUUCCCCAUCUGCAUGGGCCUAGCUCCCCACUGGCACCUCUGUCUUGCUGCCUGCCUGCCAAUAAUGCAUGGCUUAAAUGGCAUGCCACCAUGUGGGAGCUUUCCUUGAGCUCAUUGCACAAGGUGGUAAUAAAUUAAUAAUUGGAGAUUUUAUCCUUGCUUGU
RNAcentral lists this long non-coding RNA (950 nucleotides) under Anser cygnoides (Swan goose). RNAcentral describes it as "lncRNA (ENSACDG00005000588.1)". Lineage: Eukaryota; Metazoa; Chordata; Aves; Anseriformes; Anatidae. The record is from RNAcentral.